CAGGUGUGAAAGGGGAUUUUUUUCUCUACGAUACUAUGUUCAUUGUAUCCUACUAUGGUAGUCUAAACAUGGCAUUCUGUUUUUGUGGAAAUGUAUGAAACAAUAAAAUCUACCCGUUUUUUUUCCAUCUCAGGGGACAGUAAUUUUGCCACUUGUAGGCAACUGAGAAUGACAUCGCAUCAUGGCCUAGCUUCAGAAAACAGUUUCCGGCGGGAAUGGUGGGCGUUUCCUUCCAACGCCGCACCUGUCACGCAUUACCUUUCGUGGGCUACAUAAGGAUUGCCAAGCCAACAAUUUACCGUCGGAUAACUGGUCCUGCUUACAGCACACAUACGAAGUGCCUAUUUUAUAGAUGCAUGAUUCUUGCUUUUGCCGUUUUUGUCCAUGCCAUGGUUUGCCUCAUUUUGUAAGUACAGUAAAUAUUCCCAUCCCCGGAAUUCGAUGGAAAGGAAUAUCCUUCACCCAGAAUAAAAUCAUAUGCAUUAACAUUUUGACUACGAUAUUACGUGUUACCGGAAUUUGCAUAAGCGGAAAUUCCACUACCCGUAACCCGAAUGGAGGUGUAAUGCCGCGGGAGCUUAAGCGACGGGAGCGACGGAAAAGACACAACGCUAAAACAAGUUUUCACUUUGCGUUUUUCGAUCAUCAGAUUCUAAACGACGACAUGUAAGUGAGUUAUUAUUGCCGUGCAUUUUACUGUAAUUGUUAAUGAUUUUAACUUUAUUCACUUACGUCCUGGAGAACGCGGCACGAGCUUAAAAGCAGCACCCACUCGACAUGACCGAAGAAACGUUUUCACUUGGCCGUUUUCAUUCAUCAGAUUCGAAACGAAGACGUAUCAUCGCAUCGAAACGUAGAAGAACUGUAAUGACUGGAGCGGAGAAAGUGAAAUGCAUCCGUUUGAGCGAGGCUGGACACAAAGUUAAAAAGAUCCAGCAGACUAUUGGAGUCGGAAAGACGCAAAUCUACGAAACUUUCAAAAGCAAGGCAUCGAUUCAACUCCUGAUGACAAGCCACCAUCCAGCAAUGAAGCAAUGCAAAUGGCAACAAAAAUCCUUCAGUAUGCACAAGAAUGACCAGACAUCGGUGAUCAACAGGAUAGUUACUUGCAACUAGCAAGAAAACUGUAUGACACGCAGGCAAACAUUGUCAUAAACCAAAGAAUGCAUCCAACAAAACAAUCCAAAAUACAAUUUUUUUCCCCAAGACAGAAAAAAAAACAUUAAAAUACUGUAUGUAUUUUACUGUUGUGAUUUUUUUGUGAUACACCUGUAUUGCAGUUUUUGUUAUAUAAACAGUUUUUGGACAGUAUAUCUUUGUAUUUUAUUGAUUGUGUUGUUACACAUGCAUUUUGUCAACAUACUUGCAGGUUCAUAAAGGACAUGUACCAUGCUCAUUUCCCAAAUCAGGAAUAUCAGGAAUUUGUUAUCAGGACAAAUUGGACAGCGCAAACACAAGUCCGUACUAGAGAAUAUUUACUGUAAUGUUCUUGUUUUGUGUUGUAUUUUCUCGCAAGUUUUUCUUGUCUUUUGUGACAGGCCAUUUUUGUUAUUUAUUUCCUUGCCAUCUGCUUUCUUUGUUCUUUUUUAUUUCCUGGUUUGUUGACCAGCGACCCAAUUUGUACUUUGUCGGUAUCGCAUUUUUCUGUAAUCAUGUUGUUUCUGUCGGAUUAUUUUGUGCAAUCCACUUCUGUUCCGGAUUAUUCCAGUACCUCACACUGACCACCCACUGAACAUUCGGCAAGCCUCCUCGCUGCCCAUCUUCAAAGCCCUCCUCAAAACUCACUUGUCUUCUUUGGCAUUGGACUCAGCAUGACUUAAAUUUGUUCUUGAUUUUACUGUUUGGUGCUUUCUACCGCCUUUAUUACCGAUUUGUCUUACUGUUUAUUGUGCAUGUUAAGUUGCUCCAUGUACAGCACUUUGUAUGCAGCGAUGGCUGUUUGAAAGUGCUCUAUAAAUACUGUUGACAUGACUUGACUU
Molecule: long non-coding RNA, 1979 nt
Organism: Hippocampus zosterae (dwarf seahorse)
Lineage: Eukaryota; Metazoa; Chordata; Actinopteri; Syngnathiformes; Syngnathidae
Exons: 3
Source: RefSeq, a predicted model, not a curated record